GUGUCCCAUCAGUCCUUGCACUUCAUUUUGAAAAUUUCUACUUUUAAUGACUUUAGAAAAUUUUACUAAUCCAGAGAACUAAUAGAAGAGGCUGUAGGAAGAAUAGAAGGAAAAUACUGUUUUUAUAAAGCAAUUUGUAUAGCUUCCUUAGGUGUAUCCACUCACUCUGGAAAAUGUGUUGGUUCUGAAUGUGACAAUAAUUAAAGGUAGGAACACUCAAAUAAGUAUGUGUUUCAGUGGGAAUUAUCACAAAAUUUGGCAAGUAUGUUUAUUUAAAAUAUUUUCCAUCCUGGCUUCUAAAGCCAAAUGAAAUUCACAAACUCUUUUUUCUUAUUUAUAAAAAUAUUUCAUUGGAGGUAAUUAGCUCCUAGAAUAUGAGAUUACAUUCUAUUUCUUUACAACCUUUUAUAAAUUUAUGUUAAACUUACUACCAGUUGUAUGCAGGCUAUUACAUAUCAAUAACUAUUCACAGAUUGCUAUAUAUAUUACUCUAUCUUCCAAGCUAACUUCUUAAACUUGGAAUCUGUACACACAUGUUGGUUGAUUAUCUAGAUCAAUUAUCCUAGAAAUUAUGUAAUUCUCCCAUAGACACCCCAGGAGUCUUUCAGAGUAAGAUUUUUCUAAAUAUUCAUACCUUUUACUGUCAGUUUGCUCAUCAGCAAAUAAAAGUUCAUUUUAACUUUUAGAUUCUGAACUGUGUAAACUUUAGCCAAAACUACCUUGUGUGAUCCACUCCUAGAUGAUAAUCCUUGAUUAAGUAAAUCUGGCAAAUCACUAUUUGAACUAGUUUACACAAAUAUUAUCAAAAGUAGGCUUUUCUACAGGUUCCC
RNAcentral lists this long non-coding RNA (830 nucleotides) under Bos taurus (domestic cattle). RNAcentral describes it as "long non-coding RNA NONBTAT011474". Lineage: Eukaryota; Metazoa; Chordata; Mammalia; Artiodactyla; Bovidae. The record is from RNAcentral.